This 468-nucleotide ribosomal RNA is filed under the name uncultured bacterium. RNAcentral describes it as "partial 16S ribosomal RNA". It matches the Rfam family "Bacterial small subunit ribosomal RNA", at positions 28 to 507 of the family's 1533-position model. The record is from RNAcentral.
GACGAACGCUGGCGGCGUGCUUAACACAUGCAAGUCGAACGGAAAGGCCCUGCUUUUGUGGGGUGCUCGAGUGGCGAACGGGUGAGUAACACGUGAGUAACCUGCCCUUGACUUUGGUUUAACUUCAGGAAACUGGGGCUAAUACCGGAUAGGAGCUCCUGCUGCAUGGUGGGGGUUGGAAAGUUUCGGCGGUUGGGGAUGGACUCGCGGCUUAUCAGCUUGUUGGUGGGGUAGUGGCUUACCAAGGCUUUGACGGGUAGCCGGCCUGAGAGGGUGACCGGCCACAUUGGGACUGGGAUGAGGCGCAGACUCCUACAGGAGACAGCAGUGAGGAAUAUUGCACAAUAGGCGGAGGCCUGAUGCAGCAACGCCGCGUGCGGGAUGAAGACCUUCGGGUUGUAAACCGCUUUCGCCUGUGACGAGGCGUGAGUGACGGUAAUGGGUAAAGAAGCACCGGCUAACUACGUG